AAAUGAGAAUAGAAAAACCUCUGGCAAGAUUAAGAAAAACAGAGAACUCAAAAUUGUAAAUAAAAAGUUUUUAGUUUUCCAAAAGUUUGAUAAGAACAAAUAUAAAAUUAGUUUUAUAUAACCGUGUGUAUGCAAAAAUGUAGAACAGAAUAGCAUAUAUUUAUCACUGUAUUGUGCAUUUAUACAUAUACAUAAAAUGUAUUUUAUAUAUGAAUACACAUACAUGUCACUCUACGCUCCUAGCAGAUAUUAUUAACUAUUCCAAACACUCUUUUUUGACUGAUUCAUUCUUCAAUAAAAAGUUAAUAUGGUUACUUCUGGAUGGUAGGAUUAAGUUAACUUUUUACUUUUUUCUUGACAAUUUUUAUUUCAUUUCAGUUUUUUUUUUUAGUUGAUCACAUUAUUAUUUUUAUGAUUCGGAAAAAUAGGGCUUAUUUAUUUAUUUUUUAAUAAAUAUCACCUCCUCUGGAGUGAGCUCUUCUGGUCUGCCCUCUGUAGACGAGUUGAUCACACUCUACUCUGUAUAAGAACCUUGUCUCACAUAUCACGACGGCCAGAAUUUUCAGAAGGUAUUAUUUUUAUCUAUUGGCUGUGCCUGCCACUAAGACCAAACGUCUUAGGAUGAGGAUCAUGUCUCCAAGUACAGUGACAUAAAAAAGAUUGAAGACAGUGAUUGGAAAUGCCCUAAACGAGGCAGUGGCUCAUUUGAAAUAAUCAAAGAAAAAAGGGGAAAAAAUUGAAAGCGGUUGUUAGUCCUUUUAUAUCUAGCACGUGUAGGACAAAAAACCCAAAAAUUAUUGUGUUGCAAGAUGGUCUUUUUUAAGAGCAGUUUUUGGUUUACAGCCAAAUCGGGAGGAAGGUACAGAGGUUUGCCCAUAUCCCUGCCCAGACACAUCACAUACAUAGCCUUCCUUGUUGGGAACAUCAUUCACCGGAAUGGUACUUUUUUGUUUGAACCAAGGAUGAACAUAUAUUGACCUUAGGGUUCACUGUUGACCUUAGGGUUGUAUUUUCUGUGGGUUUAGACAGAUGUAUAAUGACAUGCAUCUAUAAUUUUUUUUUGGCUGUACCCACAGCAUAUGGAAGUUCCUGGGUCAGGGAUCAAAUCCAAGCUGCUGCUGUGACCUAUACCAUAUAGCAAUGUUAGAUCCUUACCCCACUGCAUUGGGCUGGGGGUCGAACCCUUGUCUCCCCAGUGACCUGAGCCAUUGCCAGGUCCUUAACCUGCUGUACCGUAGUGGGAACUCUGACAUGUAUCUAUACUCUUAAUAUCAGACAGAGUAUUUUUACUGCCCCAAGACUCCUCUGUGCUCUAUCUAUUCACUCCCACUCCCCAGUCACUUAUCUUUUUAUGUUUCCAUAGUUUUGCCAAAUAAACAUCUAUUUACAUGCUUAAUGAACUUGUAAGGAAAUAAGAAAAAAUCUAGUCAAACCGCUUGAGUUUAAAUCAUGGUUCUGCCUCUUAAAAUUUUGGGCAGUUUUAAGAAUCUAGCUUCAGUUUCCUCAUCUGUAGCAGAGGUAAUAUUGGUACUUAUAGGGUUAUUGUGAGGAAUAAAUGAGUUAAAAUAUGUGAAGUUCUUAGAAAUAAUGCCUUGUGCCUAAUGAACAAUCAGUGGACUACUAGUCUUGAAAUUAUCUAAUACUGUUACUACAGUCAUUUCUGAAAGAGAAGUGUUAAAAUCUCCUUUAUGAUUGUAGAUUUACUAACGUUUCUUUAUAGUUCUGUCAAUUUUUCCCUUUUGUAUUUUAAAAAAAGACUAUAUAGUAGACUGUACUAUUGGUGUGUUCAAAUUUAGCAAAUUUAUCUUCCUAGUGAACUGUUCCUUUUGUCUUUUUCUUGCCUAUCCUUAUAGCCUGGUUCCCCCCCCCCCAAUAUUUUCUGAAUGCCUGACCCAUUGGCUGUUCACAUGCUCGGUGUGAGUGCUGCAGCGGGUUCAGAGGUCCAAAGGUGUGGCAGUUUGUGUCACCUCUGCUCCCACAGUAGGUACCCUUGUGGGUUGGCCUGACCCUCCACUCGUGGCCCAAAGAUCUGGGAAGUGGUCCCUCGGUGUUCAGAGCCUCUCUCCCUCAGGGAGGUCAGUGGGACAAACCACUGUCCCCAUUGCUUCCCUUCCCCACUGGUACUCAUUUCCCUUCUUGAUCGUCUAGUUUAAAUUCCACUCACACUCAGCUGGAAUCUCUGUAGGUCUCUGUGGCUUGCCUGGUGGUGGGACCCAAGUCUUCCUUCCUGUGGGGGCUGAGCUUCCAGGCCAGUGUUGCUGCAUGUGCCUCUUUGCGGUUAUAACCGGUCAGGGGGGCAUCAGAUGGCAUCCCUGGUGUCCAUAUAGAUCCCCUGAAUUCCAUAAACAUUCUCCGUGGUGCAGAAGCAGCCCAGCCUCCUGCUGAUCAGGGCCAAUUUACACCUAUGAAGAGCGUGACUGCUUUUUUUGCCUGUUGGCCUCUGGGCUCAAGGAGUUCCAAAUGUUCAGGUGGCAGUUAUAGCUUGUGGUUCAGUGGAACUUUUAAUGUGUCUCCUGGCAAGAGCAUGUCCUGUUCGGAGACCAGAAAUGAACCAUGCAGAGCCCAGAGUUAUGGGACAGAAAGCACAAGUCCCCAGUGAGUCCUUGGGAGUGCUGGUAAGUGGGGAUGCGCCACCUCUUGGCUCUUGGACUCAUGUACUCUUCCUUUUGGGGCACAGAGCCACGUGGUAGAGGUCUCGGAUAUCAUGUAUGUCCUGCAUCUGGAGGGGUGGCAACCAUCGUGGCCGAAUAUUGUUUCCUGGGUGUGCUUGCUGUGCUUGCAGCAGGCCAUUCCUGCAUUCUGUGAGGCUGGCUGCUUCUGGCUGGUGUGGUAUUAGGGGGCCAGUGGAUCCCUUGGUCUCCAGACCACGUCAUACCUCUUCUACUGUGAAAGGGAUCCCCCGGUCAGAUGCUUCGUUAUGUGGGGAUUUCAUGCCUGUGGAUCAAGCAUUCUGUAAGCCCCCAGAGAGUGGUGCUGUCUGAGCCUUUGAGGGCAGGAAGGGGAAACCACUACCUUCCUUUGAGAAAGAGCCAGUACCUCUUCCAUGACAGGAGUGCCCAAUAUAACUGACUUUCUUUUGAGGAACCAGUUGGUCUUCUUGAGGAAUAGGGCCGUCAGGGCCAGAUCAUGAAAGGCAUGGCAACCAGCAGGUUGAAUUUUUUUUUUUUUUUUGCCACACCUGUGGUGUAUGGAAGUUCCCUAAUCAGGGAUUGAAUCCGAGUCUCAGCUGUGACCUACGCCAGAUUGAAUUUUUCUUAUAUGAGUGAUGGGAGUACUUGGGAGGUUUUAUGCAAGAGGGGCCACAGGCAGACUUAGGAUGUAGGAGGAUCCUGGUGGCUGUGUGGAAAACAGAUGGAGGGAGAGAGGGAGUGGAGGCAAGCCUGGGAAACGGUAGCCAGUGACGUACUUGGAAGUAGGAUCACCUGGUUAGUCUUUCCAGGGAAAAUUUCAGAGCCAUAGGUCAAGGGUUUACAUAAUGUCGAGGACUGGGGAGAUUAUCCCAAUACUAGCGUUUCUAGAAGUGAGAACUAUAGGUGACACUUCAAGGGAAGCUUUCAAGAUCAUUUACGUCUAAAACAAAUACUCAGUGUGAACUCUAUAGAUUUCCAUCUGACUUGAUCUCCUGUCCAUGAUGCCAAGAUUUUCUAAUGAAUUCAGCAUUUAGAAGAGAGGAAAUUUCUGUUUAAGUUCCUGUAGGCCUUAGAUGGAAAGAAUGUGGAGUAUAAAUGAGACUAGACUGUAGAAAAUAGGCAUAAGGAAUGUAAUAAUUUAGGAAUAUGAUAAGGAAUACAAUAACUAAUCAAGCCGAAGUGUUCCACAAUUAUCCAGGGGAGGGAAGAGACUUGAAGGCAAAUCCUGAGACAAAGUUAAGAACUGGCUGGACAUGACCUUGCUUUGGUUUCAUCUGAGUGGUUCCAACUUCUUUCAUAUGAAUGACCUCUCUUUUCCAUGUGCUUCCAGAUCUCCUCAUUAUGAAAUUAGUGUUUUAGAAGAGACAAAAUUCCCUCAAAGUUCUCCCCUGGGACUCAGGAAUUGAGAAUAUGGAAUUAAGAGUAGAAGGUAAUUUAAGGAACAAGGAGAUAGAAUAGCUAUCACAAAUUCUCCCAUAACAAUCUAGUAAUCCUAUUUGCUGUUUAGAGUAUUUUCCAUUUUUUCUCUUCUUCAUUCCCCUCUUCCUCCUCCCCCUUGUUUGUCUGUUUAUCAGAGUCCACGUUAGAAUAUUCUAGAAGACAGUCCCAGGGUUUGGAUGUCAUUUGAGGUACUCUGAGGAAAAAAAGUUCAGGACAUCAAAGAGUAGAAGAAAUAACCUGAAUUUUAAUUUACUGAAAUGGAAGUCAGAAAAAUAAACUGAUAGUGAAGAGUCAGCAGUUUUAGCUGUAAGUAUGCUUAUUUUGGUUCAAUUUAGGCUUGGAAAAUUCUGGAAUAGUGAAGACUAAAAAAAAAAAAAUCUGGAUUUAGAAUUAAGGCAAGGAAAUGAAAAAAGGGCAUCUUGACCAACAGGAUUUUUUUUUUUUUUUAUUCCUCUGAAAUCUUGAAAUCAUUUAGUGGCAACUCUUUUAUUAAUAUGUGGAGGAAAAAGGGGACAGACUGUAGAGUCUGAGGGUAUUCUUGUACCCGAAUUUACACCUAGCUGACCUAACAGACGGGUGUUCCGUUAGCCUGGGGACUCAUAGGCAAUUUAAAUGUUGUCUACAACUUUGAAAUGGGGGAAAAAAAAAAAAAUUAGAGUCCCUUCAGUGGACUACUAGGUGUUACAUAGCGCCCCCUUCUGGAUUGUCUGCUCUUCUUGGGGUUUACCUCUUUCAUUGUCUUUGAACUUGUACGGUCUUAGCAUUCCUGACUGCCUGUAUUUGUCUGUCUGUGCUUGAUCCUCUUUUGAAUUUAUUGCAGUAUCUUAUUAGUUACCUCAGUAAGCAAUAAGUUACAUAAAAAUUGUCGUGUAGACGAUUAAAAAAAGACAAGUUGUUUGCUGUAUAGUCACAGGCGCAAAGCCUGACUGUAAUUUUCUUGAGAGAGACUAGGACUCGUGGAGCUGAAAGGAUGACCCAGGAGCCAGAAGGGAGGCAGCAUGCUCAAGAGUUCCAUACCUGGCGUGAAGUGACCACGUGGCCUUGGUCAAGUCAUUUAAUCCCUUGCUUUGCUUUACUUAGUCUUAAAAUACAAAUCUUUCACACCUCCUGGACAGAGGUUUUGUAGAUCACAUGUGACUAGAUAGGAACGUUCAUAUAGGAACCUUUACCAUUUGGCAUCGCAUGUACUAGAUGGUGAAUUCCUUGAUGACCUUGUGUCCCAUUGCGUAUAUUGAAUGUACGCCGAAGGACUAGGUAGUGUUGGAGGAUUAGUUGGACUGGGUAAUCCGAUUUAAAGGCUCUUCUAACUUGUAUAUUCUAUGAUUUUUUUUUUUCAUUCUGUCUUUAGAUUCACAACUACAGAUGAAAUACGGCCACAUACAAAAAUAGUAGCUUAGCAAAUGCUUAUUGCUUUGAAUGGAAUUUCUUUUUGGGGUUUCCAUCCCUAAGAGGAUUUCUCUGUUAAGAAUGAGGAUUGAUUCCAUUAGCAUUUCAGGUGUCAGAAACUUCAUUAUUAAAGGAAAUACAAUCUAAGUCAUAGAGGUUCAUUUUAAGGCAUCCUAACAGACAGAUUACGGUGUAAGAAAAUCAGUGGAAUUCCAACUACAUUCAUGCCCAGUGCUCUAAAAUAUGUGACAUCUAGGAGUUCCCUUCGUGGCUCAGCGGUUAAUGAACCCAACUAGGAUCCAUGAGGAUGCAGGUUUGAUUCCUGGCCUUGCUCAGUGGGUUAAGGAUCCCGAGUUGCCGUGAGCUGUGGUGUAGGUUGCAGGUUCGGCUCAGACCCUACUUUGCUGUGGCUGUGGUGUAGGCUGGCGGCUAUAGCUCCUAUUAGACCCCUAGCCUGGGAACCUCCGUAUGUUGCCGGUGUGGCCCUGAAAAGCAAAAAUAAAAAUAAAAAAUAAAAAA
This 5975-nucleotide long non-coding RNA is filed under the name Sus scrofa (pig). RNAcentral describes it as "lncRNA (ENSSSCG00005003819.1)". The record is from RNAcentral. Lineage: Eukaryota; Metazoa; Chordata; Mammalia; Artiodactyla; Suidae.